Phacochoerus africanus (Common warthog) is the source of this 325-nucleotide long non-coding RNA. RefSeq lists it as uncharacterized. NCBI's taxonomy places the organism in Eukaryota, Metazoa, Chordata, Mammalia, Artiodactyla, Suidae. The record is from RefSeq and is a predicted model, not a curated record. The transcript has 2 exons.
CCCACUGCACUGCAAUAGAACUCCUGGAGUGAAUUAAACAAUUUCUGCACUGGGAUGAGUAGGACAGAUGUUGCUGGAAAGGAGAAGCUGUAUGACUUGGGAUUAUCAGAGUGGAAAACUCUGUCAAAGCCACUGAAGACUUGUCUGAUCUGGAGCUUGCACAGAAGAGCCUAUGAUUAUAUGAAUGGAAGGUCACAAUGCCCCUAAAGAUUUUGUCACAGAAGAGUUCCCCCAUCAGCCUGUGGAUGAGACCUGAAAUGUUUCCACCAUUGAUUCCAAUUUCAGAAUAAAAUGCCAUCCCUCUCAUGGCAAAUCUUCAAAGUUC